UUCAAUUAUCCUUUUCUCCUAUAUAAGAACCUUGACCACAAGCUAUUUCUAGCCACCACAAAACUUUGCUAUACUUUUUUCACUCUUCUUUGAACAUAUAAUUUCUGUUUGAUCAAGAUGAUGCAUAAUGCCUUUCUUAAGCUGCUGGUAUUCUUUCUGGGUUUUUCCUUUAUUCUGUCGUCUGCCGUAGUUCCUAUAACUAGAAGCCUCAAGUCAACAAGGGAAGACCCAUCAGUCCAAGAUUUCCUGGCUCAGGCACUCUCUCUCUCUCUCUCUCUCUCUCGUAGGAAUUUAGUACUUUAAAUACCAUGAAACCUUAUGAAGUCACAUGGUAUGUCGAUAAUUAGUGUAGAUGUAAAUAUCAUGUAUUAAAAAUAUAUAUCACAUUUAUGCCAAUUCCAUAUAGUGCUGAAGGUUUAAGGUUUCUCUCUCUAAGUUAGCACUUGACCUUUUUUCGUUAGACCAUUUUCCUCUCUUUUCUUUGAUUACCUUUUAAUUUCUUUUUGAUUGAAUGGAUGAUAAAGAAUUUAAUUGAGAGGUCCUAUAUAAUUCGCAGGGUGAAGUGGAUAUGAAGGAAGUUGAGGAGAUGUUUGAGGCGGCUGAAGGAAUAAUGGAAAGGAGGAUGGACAUGGAAAGAGCAGAUUAUCCAGGAACAGGAGCAAACAACCAUCAUGACCCAAAAACCCCUAAAAGAGCUUGAAGUGAUCCAAUUUUUAAAGUACACAGACCCAGACUUUACAGGAGAGAUUGCAUCUUGGUUUGGCUUUGUGUUUUCGCGCUUUGGAAUAUGCUCUUUGAUUAAGAAUCUCAAAAGGGUUAUUGAUUUGUUACUUUAUCCACUUAUUAAUCUAUCUAUUUCCUUUUGUACUUUUUUUUUUUUUUUUUUAAUUUAAGAAUCUCCUUUUUGUUUUAAUGAGAUACUAUCACAUCAUCUUUUAAUUAAAUAAAAUGUAGGGGAUUAAAACCCA
This is a long non-coding RNA of Quercus robur (English oak), 968 nucleotides long. RefSeq lists it as uncharacterized. Lineage: Eukaryota; Viridiplantae; Streptophyta; Magnoliopsida; Fagales; Fagaceae. The record is from RefSeq and is a predicted model, not a curated record. The transcript has 2 exons.